CAACAAGGAUGUUAUUUUCAUCUUUUUUAAAAGGAAGGAUAUGAUUAUACCCAAAUAGAAAAUCGUAUCUCUGUAAGAGAAAAGGAAAACUGUUACCGAUUUGCAGAUAUCAUGCGUGCUUUAUACGUUUUCGUCAUAUGGUUUGCUUUACAGUACAAUAGAGAAAAUGUGAUGUGUCAAGUCCAAAGAUACACAUGGUUUGAUGCGCAGGAAAUAUGCAGAAUGAACAACAGCGUACUUAUCAAAAAAGCAAUGCACAAUUCAUCAGAAUCUUUCUGGAUUGGACAUUAUCGACGGAAGUCGACCUGGAUAAAAAUU
Molecule: long non-coding RNA, 318 nt
Organism: Saccostrea cuccullata (small rock oyster)
Lineage: Eukaryota; Metazoa; Mollusca; Bivalvia; Ostreida; Ostreidae
Exons: 3
Source: RefSeq, a predicted model, not a curated record